UUUGCUACCAACCUUAAACUUGUUUAAGGUUUCUUUAAGAAGCAAAUUUUCAUUUUUUAUUGCUUCUAAAUGCUCACACUUAGAGCAUGGAGGAGUUUGAAGACUAUCAAACUUAUCUUGUAGCAAAGCAUGCUCUUUCUUUAAGAUACUUAACUUCUUGCUAACAGUUCUACAUUCAUCAAAUAAUUCAUGAAAAGCGAUAGAGAGUUCUUCAAAAGAUAAAU
RNAcentral lists this long non-coding RNA (224 nucleotides) under Musa acuminata (dwarf banana). Its description in RNAcentral is "long non-coding RNA (MACU_LNC011600)". The record is from RNAcentral. Lineage: Eukaryota; Viridiplantae; Streptophyta; Magnoliopsida; Zingiberales; Musaceae.